UACGUAGGUGGCAAGCGUUAUCCGGAAUUACUGGGCGUAAAGGGUGCGUAGGUGGUUUCUUAAGUCAGAGGUGAAAGGCUACGGCUCAACCGUAGUAAGCCUUUGAAACUGGGAAACUUGAGUGCAGGAGAGGAGAGUGGAAUUCCUAGUGUAGCGGUGAAAUGCGUAGAUAUUAGGAGGAACACCAGUUGCGAAGGCGGCUCUCUGGACUGUAACUGACACUGAGGCACGAAAGCGUGGGGAGCAAACAGGAUUAGAUACCCUGGUAGUCCCUGA
This 276-nucleotide ribosomal RNA is filed under the name uncultured prokaryote. RNAcentral describes it as "partial 16S ribosomal RNA". It matches the Rfam family "Bacterial small subunit ribosomal RNA", at positions 524 to 800 of the family's 1533-position model. The record is from RNAcentral.